Non-coding RNA from Camellia sinensis, 1150 nucleotides. The record is from RefSeq and is a predicted model, not a curated record. NCBI's taxonomy places the organism in Eukaryota, Viridiplantae, Streptophyta, Magnoliopsida, Ericales, Theaceae.
UCAAAGUGCUUAGUAUGUGUCCAAAAAGAGCUUGGCUUGAGUUAUAUUCCUGAACUAUCAACAGUAAUAUUAUCCUUGCUUGUUACUCUCAUUCAAACAGAGCUUGAACAUGAACAACUAUCUAUAUUGAAACUGCUUCUCUUCCUCUUGAAGUGGAAAAGUGAAAAUGAUGCAGUUAAUUUAAACGAAGAGCUUUUAUUCGUUUUUCCUGUCAUCAACCUUGUCUCAACUCCUUCUAAAUCUGUUAAACAAGCAGCAAUCGAUUUGCUUUUCAUUUUGGAAAAGCUUUUAAUAAAUUUGUUAGUUUUCACCGAAGAAGGAACUGAUCAUGCAAGGGAUAUUUCCAUCUAUUACCAGACCCGAAGACAUUAUUUUUAGGCUAUUGCGACAAUUGUGGUCUCAGGUUUGUUUCCAUUACUUACAGCUGAAAAUUAUAUUUUCACUUCCUCACUUCCUGAUUAACAUUCUUGUGAGGGCUCAUGAUUGUAAGAAUAUACAGUUACAAAAACAAAAUAUAAGAAAUAAUUCUGAAUUAUGUGGCUGCUUAAUUUGGUGGUGGUUGGAUUGAAUAGUUAGUGCUAACAUGUGGUCUGUUUGUAAUAACUCAUCAGUUCUUGAUAGAAUUCAUGUUUAUCAAUUAUAUAUAUGGUAAUAGCAGCUAUAAACAAAUUGUUCCAUUACAAUGUCUUCUCCCAGAUUGUGUAGCUUGAUGACUAUAUAUCGGUUUGGCGGUCUUACAAGGAAAAUCUACUAAGUGGAAAAUGACUAUUUAUUUCUGUUUGGUGGUCUUAGAAGGAAUCUACUAAGUGGAAAUGCAGCUUUUAUUUUCUAGAAAUCAUUGGCAUCCUUUGAUGUUUGGAAAACCAUAGUUGAUUUUAUCAUGUUUAAAAAUAUUGGUUUAUUAGUUGAGACGUAUGACUUUGUUUAAGAUUUGUGAACUGUCAGCAUUGUGAUGCCCUUGCCCCAAGUAUUUGGAGUAGGCAGCACACACGUGUCGACUGAUGCUGUGGAAAAGCAUGAAACUUCAGAAGCCUUGGUUAGUUUAAUUUUUUUUAUAGUUUUAAUUUGUUAGGCAAGAAGCCAUGCUCAAAAUACCUUUUAUCAUUUAUGAUACGGUACUGGAUUACUUAACAGGAAAAAAAAAAAAAAA